GGCCGACUAGCUCAGUUGGUUAGAGCGUCGUGCUAAUAUCAUCUUAUGGUAUAGACGCGAAGGUCUUGGGUUCGAUCCCCACGUUGGCCA
Moniliophthora roreri is the source of this 90-nucleotide non-coding RNA. The record is from Rfam. NCBI's taxonomy places the organism in Eukaryota, Fungi, Basidiomycota, Agaricomycetes, Agaricales, Marasmiaceae.